Coregonus clupeaformis (lake whitefish) is the source of this 205-nucleotide long non-coding RNA. RefSeq lists it as uncharacterized. NCBI's taxonomy places the organism in Eukaryota, Metazoa, Chordata, Actinopteri, Salmoniformes, Salmonidae. The transcript has 3 exons. The record is from RefSeq and is a predicted model, not a curated record.
AAUAGACAGGGGAAAGGUAAGGUACUGACUACAUUACAGGGUAGUGAUCAAUAGACAGGGAAAGGUAAGGUACUGACUACAUUACAGGGUAGUGAUCAAUAGACAGGGGAAAGGUAAGGUACUGACUACAUUACAGGGUAGUGAUCAAUAGACAGGGAAAGGUAAGGUACUGACUACAUUACAGGGUAGUGAUCAAUAGACAGGG